CUUAAUUGCAGGGACAGCUUGUGUGGUUGGCAGUUGUUUGAAUUGAGAAAUGGACUUUAAGGAACUACGGUUUCUUUGGCUCAGCUGGAAUUUAAGUAGUCAUAGACUAAAUUAACAGCCACGGUCAAAGCCCAGAUGACAGCUGUGUCACAGAAAAGGAAAGGAGCACAAGUAUGAUGGCAAGCCACAUGGAUUAGAGGAACAACCUAGAAAUGGAUAAGUGACAUGACUGAAGGAGCCCAAAUCUCUAGGAGCAGCCUGUGGGGACUAUCUGGAGCUACAAGAUGGAAUAUUAGCCUCGAUUUUAUGAAUAAGACACAAGAGGACUAUGUCACCCUGUGGCAAGAGAGACUUUGCAAAUGUGGUUAAAUAAAGCAGUUGAGAUGCGGAGAUGAUCUUGGAUUAUCCGAGUGCAUCUGAUGUAAUUACAACGGUUCUUAUGAGAGAAAAAAGGAGGUGGGAGAAACUGAGGAGAUGUGACAGUUGAAGCAGAGAUCAGAGUGAGGUGGAGACCAAGGGCUGAGUAAUGGGGGCUGCGUGUGAAUACCAGAAAAGCAAGAAGACAGAUUGCCUCUUAGAGCUUCCGGGAGGAAUACAGCCCUACCGAUUUCUUUUGGACUUCUGACCUCCGGAAUCAAAGAUAAUAACUUUGUGUUGUUUUAAACCAUAAAUUUGUGGUAAUUUGUCACAGUAUCAAUAGAAAACUAAUAUAAUCAUCAUUUUAAAUUGUUGCCUGUUGGUUGGGAGUAGUGGCUCACUCCUGUAAUCCCAGUGGUUUGGGAGGCCACGGUGGGAGGACCCCUUGAGGCUGGGUGUCCAAGACCAGCCUGCGCAACAUACCAAGACCCCAUCUCUACACAAAAUAUAAAUAAAUUAGCCAGGCAUGGUGGUGUGCACCUGCAGUCUCAGCUAUGUAGGAGGUUUGCUUGAGCCCAGGAGUCUGAGGUUACAGUGAGUUGUGGUUGUACCACUGCACUCCAGCCUGGGCAACAGGCUGUCUCUUAAAAAAACUUGUUGUCUAUUAUUUUCAUAAGGAACCAUAAUUUCCCAAUCACUUAUUUGCUUGGAAAGAGCAAACAUCUUGAAACAGCAAUUGAAUCCAUUUAGCCAAGUCUGUGUGUGAAGGUUUGGUUCCUGAUUGCAGAGGGUGACCAACUUCCAUGAAGCCAGCCAUCAGGGUGGUCUGGGGCCAUGUCCACUGACACUACCAUCUUGUUCUCCUCUCUAAAGAAAGCUUAACGUUGAACAGUACUAGACAGCAGUUUGUCCACCACUGCAAACAAACCUCAUUGUUGUCUCAGGCAUCACUACUCAAGUAACACAGCUGGGCAGUCACAAGCCCUGAGUACAGAAACCCUAUUUUCUGAAUGAAGCACUGGGACACAGAAUAUUUGAAAUCAGAACUUUUGGGACAUCUGGAACCUAUUGUUGUCAUACGUCUGAGUCAGUGAGGGAUAGUUCAUAAUCCCCUUAACUGGUGGAUAACACCGUAAGCACUUCAGAGAGCAGAACUUCAUGUGCCUGCCUUCUUGAUUAAUGAGCGAGAAACAAUCCCAAAUAAUUGCUUGUUGAAGCACUAGAAGUUUCCAUCUUGCCUCUCAAAGUUAGCCUGAAUCCAAACAGAUGGAAGCACAGUAGCAGUGGCUAUGAUGGCCAUGGAGAGAGACUUGUAAACAAAAG
RNAcentral lists this long non-coding RNA (1680 nucleotides) under Homo sapiens (human). Its description in RNAcentral is "HSALNT0159563". The record is from RNAcentral. Lineage: Eukaryota; Metazoa; Chordata; Mammalia; Primates; Hominidae.